Long non-coding RNA from Meriones unguiculatus (Mongolian gerbil), 3123 nucleotides. RefSeq lists it as uncharacterized. The transcript has 4 exons. Lineage: Eukaryota; Metazoa; Chordata; Mammalia; Rodentia; Muridae. The record is from RefSeq and is a predicted model, not a curated record.
UGUGUGUUUGUUUGUGUGUUUGUGUGUUUGUUUGUUUAAAAAGGGUCGGGUUUGGAGCCUCAGAGUGGCGCGGUCCUUUCUGGCUGCGCCCUCUAGUGCGGCUGUCGGGAAUGGCGUCUCCUCCUUUUCCCGCGGGCGCGCUCCCCCCUGGUCCGAAGCCACACUGCAGCCCAGCAGCCUGGCCAGGCCCUCCCCAGGCAAAGCCGAGAGCCGGCCCUGCUUUUUGGGCACCCCUGGACUCGACCUGGGGGACGCCUGACGUCUGCCUGGACAGGGAGUCCUGACAUUUCCCCGGGGACUGACGGGGCUGAGAUCCUGCCCGGGCUUCCCACUCUCUGGUCGUCCUCGCCGGCGAAGCGAGGCUCCCACUGCAGGGCCCUGAUCUCUUCCCUUGUUGGGACUGCUUUGCUUCCGGGCCCAAACGAGGAUCCAGGAAACGUGCCUGCAGGAGCCCUCCUGCGCUCCGGAGUCCACGCAAAGGCGGAGUGAGGCCUGCGGGCCCUGCAGGCGGGGAGGCAGGCCAGCCUGCGUGGGGGAGGGCGUGUACUCCCAGGAGAGGCUGGAAGGGUUCGAGGCGGAAACCCAGCUGGUCUCCAGCCCCGCGCAGAGCGUGACCACCGAACCGCGAAGCUGAGAGAGCAGGCGUCCAGGAGGACCGCGGGGAAGCCUUCACGCCUGCGCCAGCUCUGCUGUUUAAAUAGUGCCCCUGAGUCACCACUCCCUGGGUGCCAGGAUUUAGCAGCCCGGUGCGAUCCUAUCGCAAGUUUCCUGGCCCUCCUCACUUUACCUCCGAAACCUGUUUUGGUGACUGAUGCAGCCUUAUCGGCCCCUUCUACCCUUCCGAUUGGGGAUCGGAUCUCCUGGCCAGCAUUCCUGCCUUCAGACUGUCUGGCUGGAGGCAUUUCCCUUCGCUGCUUAACAAACUUGUUUUCUGCAGCCUGGAGGGGGACGGGGGGGGGGGGGGCUAGUUUUGUUGGUUUGUUUCCAGCACAGGCUAAGAUCACUGCUUUCUGGGAAGUUUCCAGAUGUUUCGGGGCAUCAAGCUUUUCGUUUCCCAAGGGUCUCGCCGGUCUCAAAUCUGUGACCCUCCUGUGUCAGCCUCUCAACUGCUGAACCAGCACACUUGGCUACUUCUCUGGCUUCGUCAAUGGAUGUCCUGAGUCAUCCACGCUAUCUCUCUGCUCCACAUCGCAGGAAUCAUAUUUAGAAGAGGGCAUAGAUCGGACAGCUGAAACAUGUCUUUUCCUCUAGGCAAACCUAACCUUUCACCAUACCCAGCGUUACCUACAAGGUUCCAGCCCACUCUCCUCGAAGCAAUCAAAACUCUCUUCUCUUCUACAGUCUCUGAAAACAGACUUGUAAGCAAGACCAGAUCCAGGUCCGUGGACCUCAGUGAACAGGGCCUGAGCUCCACAGAACCAGCGAGGGACUCAGCCCUCCUUCCACCGUGUUCAUACAGCACCAACACAUGACUUCCCCAGCCUGGGACAGAGGAACUGCAGUUGGCUCUGUGGGGAAACAGCUCCUGGGGAAUCACCACAAAGGCCCCUCCCCCAGGUUUGCUUUGUGCCGUGUGCCAGGCACUCCUCGCGCCUCUCUACCCUUCUGGACCCUGAGUCUAAGCACCCCUCCACAGGGAGGAGCAGCUGCGAACCUUCCCAACUUUAAGGAAUAGAAAAGCUGCCCUUCCGGUGCCAUAGGAGCUAUUUCAGUGAGAAAGACCCGCCUUUGACUUUCCUAUCAAAGAAAUGAACUUCAAACUGUGUAACACAGACAGCAGUUGCAGUGUGCUCCUGAGACUUUGGGCAGCGCAGGGCUCCUGUAAGCCCCUUUACCUGGACGGUCUUACAGAAGAGAAGCCACUUACUCCAUGGUAGACAGUGAAUCUAAAAACAACAACAAAUCCCAUCCCUUGACCACGCUCCUCUGUCCCAGUUUCAAAACACGAGCACCCUUGGGUGGAUGCUCUCAAACUCCACUAUGAUUCCUUUCCCUGCUGGUCCUCUUCGAAUUAGAAAUUCUAUCUGUUAUGUUUAAUCACAUGGAUAAAAACGCUGGUACACAAAACUAAGCCCUAAAUCCAAAACUGGAAGUUUAUCAAAUAGCUGAAAAAUAAAUAAAAAUGUUGUUUUUAAAGAAGACUUAUAAAACUGGUCUCCUCCUCCCCCAACUUAGGAAGUUCAGGGCCCAACGCUUCCCUAUAAAUAGUUGUCAAUAAACACAACUGCUGCAAAUGUAUUCAGUAAAUGUUAAGGUCAAAGGCCUUCACUGUUUAUUGCCUUGUAAACUCAAAGACAAGUGAAUUUAUUGCUUGAAUGAGUUUCAGGGUAUUGGCCUUCAUAAAAGUUCUGAAUCCCAGGUACAAACCCUCCAUCCGCUCGCACCAAAGCUACUCCGCACAGAGCGGAGCGACCGCCCACCGUCAGAUUUAUAAUUUAGACACGUCUCGGGAAGGGUAUUGUUUGCCAUGUUGCAGAGAUCCCCAUGGAUUAGGACUGUGUGAGCCUGCCAUUAUUACAAGAACUUGCUUCAACUAAACUAUAAAUUGCAGCUGCUUCUUAGGCCAUACAACACCGUAGCCUACUCAUGACAGCACUCUAAAACCAAAUAAAAAAAGCCAAGAAUGCAAGAGCUCCUUCGCAUCUUGUCCUCGCAUGGGGGAAUGGCGGUAAUCUUUUCAAAAUGAAACCUGACAAAUUGGAAAAGGACAACUUUCCCGGCAGAUCACAUAGGAGUGCACAGACUGACUCAAACACCUACCUUUAUAUUAUUCAAAACCUAAUUUUUUUUUUAAUAUUCUGAAAUGUCACUUGACAGUUUUAUGUAACAGCAUCCCGGUUUCACCAACAACCGUUCAAUGCAGUGGCUUUAGAAAUCUCUGUAGACAAUGUGUGAGGAAAAUUCAAACUUAAAAAUUACCAUAUAAUCUUUCGCACUUUUCACUGGUCUGUGUCUGUGUUAAUCUUUUCCUAGCAGGUAGAAAAUUUACAGUUGAAUCUAUUUCUGUGAAUAAAGCCCAAUCUGGCUUAUUAAAACAUAAAGAAAUUGUAUAACAUAUAAAGAAGUGCUCAACUUUAAUCAUCUUGAACAUGAACAAAAGCAACAAAAAAAAAAAAAACAAAA